UUUGUCAAAACGAGAGCGCGCAUUUUCUAAAUUCAAAUUGACAGACACCAUUUUUAGGUCAAGAUACUCCAAUGCCUCCCUUCUUAUGGCCCUUUCGGGAAAAGGAGAUUCCCCCAAAAUUUGGAUUAAGCGAUCAUCUGGUUCGCUGAGAAGGAGAUUAAAAAGCUGGUCCGUCAAAUUUGCUUUCAAUUCGAGGACUGUAAUGUCGAAGAUUUCAUUGGAUAGAGCACUGUGAUAGUUCCGAAUGUUGAUGGCUUCGUUCAGAUUCAGAUUGUUUCUCACUAACGUUGCGUAUUCACCGUGGUUAAGUUGAGGAGGCAACCGAUCGAUUAAUCGGUUUUCGAGGUUUCGUAUCCGCGAGAACAGCUCUGCUUCCACGUGCUCGUUUUGCGCGCGAAAGUUGUCCAAGACUUGUGCCGCGGGUACUUCCCCCUCCUGUAAAACAGCAGUCCAGCUUGAGCUGGAUCUUGACAGGGAUUCCAGAGCGCCAGUCCAGCUUGAAGAAGCAUCGCCCGAAUGAUCCGCCGCAAAGACAACCUUAUUGGGAUUAGUGAUAGAAAGGCAGAGCGCCAUUAGGACAAAAAGUAAAAUCGAACUGACAAAUCGGACUAAAGGCUUAACCAUCCACAAACUUAGAUUGAUAAAGAUCUUACUGAAAAAAGCAGCAAAUAAUAUCUUUCUAUUUCUAGCCGUGGAAAACAAUUUCAUUUUUCUUUCAUUCUUUUCAUUCUCCGCUCCCCCAAAAAAAGGAGAGACUUCAUUUUCACUGUACGAGUAGUGAAAAACUAUAGUUUACUUUUAUUGGUUGUUGACCAACGGAAGACAUGGGAGUUUUGGGCGUAAAAGUGGCUUUCUUCUCUUAAUUCAUUCUUUUGAACAGCUUGAAAACUUUUUUGGUUGUUGACCAAACCAAGUCAAAAUGUGGGAACAAAUGCAUUCUUUUGAACAGCUUGAAAACUUUUUUUAGUAGGCGAUUGGUAUUCCUAAUUUUUUUUUUUUUUUAGUUUUGUUUGUUCUCGAAAGUCUUCGUCUCCUUGAUAGCUGGAAGUUCUCCAAAAGUAUGAAAAGCAGGAGGACUUUGUACCAUCCAUUCCGGUGUGGUUGAAUUCUGUUCAACAGCCCAAGGACUUGGAGCACAUCUUUUGUUAUUUCCACUGCUUGAAGUUAUUGUUACGACCACGAAGAAACGACAAAUCCCAACUACGGAUAUAUAAGAGCCAAAACUGCUAAGGGCAUUCCAUCCAGCGUAAGCAUCUGGAUAAUCGGGAAUGCGACGUGGCAUACCCGAAAGCCCUAAGAAAUGCAUGGGAAAGAAGGUCAGAUUAACCCCGAAAAAAGUGAUCCAAAAAUGGAUUUGACCUAAAGUUUCAGGGUAUGUCCGACCAAAGAUUUUACCCACCCAAUAGUGAAAUCCUGCAAAUAAAGCAAAAACGGCUCCCAUAGAAAGUACAUAAUGGAAAUGUGCAACCACAUAAUAAGUAUCAUGUAGAGCAAUGUCUAGCCCAGAAUUUGCCGGGACUAUUCCAGUGAGUCCCCCUAUGGUGAACAAAAAGAUGAACCCUACAGCAAAUAACAUGGGUGUUUUGUAUUGUAUCGAACCUCCCCACAUGGUAGCGAUCCAACUAAAGAUUUUGAUUCCAGUGGGGACAGCUAUGAUCAUGGUAGCUGCGGUGAAGUAGGCACGGGUAUCAACGUCUAAGCCCACAGUAAACAUAUGAUGAGCCCAAACAAGAAAUCCAAGAACACCUAUACUGAUCAUGGCAUAAACCAUGCCUAGAUACCCGAAGACCGGUUUUCCCGAAAAAGUCGAAACGAUAUGACUUAUGAUACCGGAUCCAGGCAAAAUGGGAAUAUACACCUCUGGAUGACCGAAGAACCGAAAGAGAUGCUGGUAUAAUAUGGGGUCUCCCCCUCCAGCGGGAUCAGAAAAGGUUGUAUUAAAGUUUCGAUCGGUUAAUAACAUGGUAAUUGCCCCUGCCAGUACCGGAAGUGAUAAUAAAAGUGGGAAUGCUGUCACUAGAACGGACCACACAAAAAGGGGUGAUCUAUGCAUAGUCAUUCCAGGUCCACGCAUGUUGGAGAUAGUUGUUAUAAAAUUGAUAGAACCUAAAAUGGACGAAACACCAGAUAGAUGAAGACUAGAAAUUGCUGAAUCAACUGCUCCUCCAGAAUGGCUGGUAAUACCGCUUAAGGGCGGAUAGACCGUCCACCCAGUGCCGCUACCCACUUCUACUAAGGCUGAGCUUAAUAGGAGCAAGAGACUUGGUGGCAACAACCAGAAUGAAAUAUUAUUUAAUCGCGGAAAUGCCAUGUCAGGUGCACCUAUCAGAAUCGGAACAAACCAAUUACCAGAUCCACCUAUCAUCGCCGGCAUAACCAUAAAAAAGAUCAUUAAAAAAGCGUGAGCCGUUAUUAAAACAUUAUAAAGUUGAUGAUUUCCACCAAGAAUUUGAUCGCCGGGUCGUGCUAAUUCCAUACGAAUCAGUACUGAGAAGCAUGUGCCCAUCACUCCAGCAAUGGCACCGAAGAUGAAAUAUAGAGUCCCUAUAUCCUUGUGGUUAGUGGAGAACAGCCAUCGGACCGGAUUUGUCAUAAAAUUGAGAUUCUUUCCUUUCCUUCCUUAUCAGAGAGGGGCCCCGAGCGGGGCUUCUUUAUUGAAAAAGGGGGAGUGAGGGGGGAAGGUCCGGAAAGCCCUCACUUUAUUGAUGGGACAUCUUGAUCCCCUUUUCCUCUAACCCCCCGUUCUGGUUCAGGAAAAGGUCAACGCAAGGAUCUUACUUCGAAGCAAUCUCUGGAGUUUUUCCUUAUCCGAACGGGUCUUGCAAGAAAAUAGGAUUUCAUAUUGAGCUCCAAAUAUACGCUAUUGGGAUUGGGAUAGGAUGGCUCCUACUAGCCCCCCCUAAGAACCGCACGUGCGAGUUCCCCCGCAUGCGGCUCAAGUGGCGAAGGCCCUUUCCUUCGCGCUUGGUAAGCGCUUCGCUGUAGUCAAGCUUACUGCUAGCCUAUCGGCUAGAGCCAAGCUUCGACCGCGACUGCUCGUCGCUUCUGGCCGCCUUAUUCCGUCACCCGAGAUCCAAGUCAGCACCGGCAAAGAUCUCUUGAUUCCUCGCGGCCGGGCCGGCUUGGAAGCAAGCUACCUGUCGCCUAUCUCACCCCCUUUCUUAUUAUUAGUAAGAUAGGUUGCCCCUUUCCUCUUUCUCUAAUAAUAAGGUGAGCUUCCAAAGCUCCUUCCUUCAGCUGGGUGAGCCUUCGCUUUUUGGAUCGUCUUCUGCCCAAUGCGGUACCCUCCCGUUUUUUGGUUCCCAUUGGGUUUACCUUGUUUACAGGUCGACCCCAUGGCAGCAAGAAAAGGUGAUCUUGUGCUAUACUCCGGCGAUCUCUUUCCUACCGAGGCACGCAAACUCCCAUCGUGUCCCAGAUCACAUUCCGUGAAUCGAAAGGGGAAGCCUACUCAUCCAUCAGCUCCUCUCGUAGACCGGUGCGGUUUUACGAAGCGUCUAAGCACAGUUCACUCGCGUUGAUCAAUCAAGAGCUUUGCCGCCACUCCUUAAGGUUACCUGCUGUAUCAAACACUUCUUGCAUUGUUUCCCACGCUUCAUACCCCCUCUUUCUUCUUAAGGUAAGGUAAAGGGCCGGGCAUGGUGGGGUAGGAGCACCCUGUCGGAAAGAUUUUUGGCUUGACCAAGAAGUCUUAUGUCCCCCAAGUCGCACGGCGUUUUAACCGAAGACUUCUUGCGCAAUUCAUGCCUUUCUGUUUUUAUGACCAGAAAUUGUUUCUUGAUUUCCAUUUCAAAUUGUUCUCUGGACUUUUUAUCAAUAUGAGGUGAUCGUAACACAGUAUAUAAGACUCGUGAUUCAGGCAAUCCAAUCUUCCGUGUGUAAGGCGGAAGCCCCCAAAAAAGGUUUUCCAUAAAUGGGUGAUCAAAAGAUCGAAUCACUAUGCGUAUCUUGGUGGUCGUUACUUUUGGUGGUCUUUCUUUUUGGCUGACUCCUCUUCCUGUUCUAUUGAUCAAAAAAAGCAUCCAGCAGCGCCACGCCAGUAGAAAGAGUUAAGCUACUAAGCUAAGCUGCUGUUGGGGAACUUGGUUGUUAACCAACGCAACGGCGCUAACCAAAACCGCCUCCUGCCGCCUAAUUUAAAAAAUGAAGUAGUUGGUGGAAUUCAUCACUAGCAAGACCAAGCUGAGUGAUGUUCUGCAAAACAGAAGAAACAUUUUGCAGAGUUAGAUCAUUCCCAAGGAUGUCAGUGACCAGUUGCCCGUAGGUCCAAUUAGGCGGCAGGGGGAUAUUAUGACGUUGGAAAAGGUGCUCCACCGUAUCGGUUAUGGCUCCCCUUGUUAUAUUAACCGCUGUGGUAUAAAGGAUAUCGUUUGGCCCCGCGGGAGGUUCCCCAUUUUAUUAUGCUGGUUUGAAAUUUCAUUACAUAAUGAGGUAAGGGCGUUUACAACUAUGAGUUGGUUUUGGGGCCUUAUCUUAUCAUGCAUGAUUUUUUUUUAACUUAACAUUCAUUCGCUUCUUGCUUUGAAGCGGCAUACCGGAAAAAAAGCCCUUAUUCGGAUUCGAACCGAUAACUUAAGCCUCCUUCUUAAGGGCGAACUGAUCGACUCGCGUGUGUUAAGCAUAAAAUUUCGAGCCCUCAAUCCGUUGGGCCCUUCGUGGCCCCGUUAGCUGGCUUGCCAAUCAACUCAUCCGACUGCCAACUGUCAACAGGAACAGGAAAGGCCCGCGACGAAUGACCCGUUCACCCUUUUCUAAAGUCGUUGUCUGAAAGGCCCCAUUUUUCAAAGAGGCGAGGCAAGCCCGGACCCAGAGGGAGCCCCGGAAAGAAGAGUCUAUAUUGGUGUAAAAAAGCGAGUUCCAUCUUUGACAAUAUAAAAUUCUCGAAGGUCCAAGACGAUAAGGCAAAAUCGUCUGAUCGGCUUCAGCCUGAGAUACCAUAUUCGCCGAGAGCACACUUCAAAGCGGAGGGGGCAGCUAAGCUAACAUAAGGUCGGACAGAAAGAGUCCAUUCAUGAGUUGAGGACAGGAUCUCAGAUAUCUGCUGGCUUAUUGAUGACAUUCUCUCCUGCCGGCCAAAAGGAGUGGAGACAAGAUAAUAAAAAUGAUAAGCUCGAUCCGCCUUCACUUACACAAUUUAUUGAGUUAGACCUAACCUAAGAUGGACUCAGAGGCCAAUAGUUACGACUAUCGACUAUCGAACAAAGGCGCUAUCUAGUGUAUUAUAAGAAAAGGGAAGAUGAAAAGAAUGAAGCGGAGAAGCGGGGGACGAACUCCUCUAUCUACCCUACCCUAGAAAUGGGUUGGAUCUAUUGAAUGAGAUCCUUCCGAAUGGGAUAAGAGAAUUCCUACUAUUACUAUUCUCUUUCUUUCUCUUCAUUUAAUAAAGAAAGAACACUGAACACAAACAAGAAGUCACUUUUUUUUGAAAGAGUUAUAACUUCACAAAACUUCUCAUCCCUUAUCGUAGUUUAGACUUGAUCUUAGGCUAACGGUUACCGGCUUCACGAGACCCUUUCGGUCCACACACGGCUAAGCACUAUUGGGCGGAGCUUUCUCGAUCCAAGCUAACUACUGGAAGAUUUGAAAAGAAAGGAAGUCUCACUAUACUAUAAUAAGCAAUUUAUUUCGUUGGAAAUAGAGAAAAAAUGAAAACUUUUGAAAUAUUUCUUUUUCAUUAGCUAAAGAAUAUUUACAAGGGUGAACCUUAGCUAUAUGCUUAACACAAGCGAGUCGGACUCUAGUAAAGAAUCUAGGAAUUUCUCUGUUUUUGCCGUUCCCGGCUCUACUCUAAUAAAGGAAAGGUCCUCCUCUCUAUUCUCUAUUCCUUGUGUGGGAGGUCCCUUCUAGCCGCCCGUAUCCCUGCUUCCAACCUUGAAAAAUUCGUGUUAACAGCUAAAUCAACAAAAAGGACUAGCCCAUAAUCCUAAUCUAAGGCCCAUACCUUUACUAAACGACCAAUAGCGAGCGGAUAAAACAUUAUAAUACUUAGUUAUAGUUAGAGAUUUAAGUUAUACUCUUUGUACUAUAGUUGGCUUAGACUUCCUUGCUAAAGAAAAGCGUUUUUUUCUUCUUCCUCCCUACAGAAGGUGAAAGGUGGAAGUUAGGAGAAGUCCUAGAGCCACUGGAUACUCCGAGCACUACAAGAGCGGACAAUAGAACGAGCACGGUCCUACGACAAAUGCUUCCAGCGUGCCUGUACAUCGCGUCAUCGCCGCCCAGAAAGACUUAGUCCACCUUUCCCGCCUAUCCCUCCCGCAAGAGAGGACUCGUUCUGGCUUUAAAGAGCCUCUUUUUUAGCAGUCUCGUCCAUAAGAGAAGAUUGACCAUCUCUUCUUCCAAGCUUCUUUCUUCUCGGCGUAACGAAAGAACUAGAUGAGGAGAGGCCUCAGGUUUCAAAUCCCUACCCUACGCCUUACGAGGGCGCCCUAGCCAAAUUCAAUCCCAAGGGUCAAUCAAGCCUUUUCAACUAGUUCAAAUAGUCGUCACAGUCUUCGUUCCUGCUUUCAACGAGAUUCUUAGCUGCAUCAGCUUGUAAAACUUUCUCUCCUUCACCAGGAAAGGGAGAGCGCGGACAAAGUACCAGACGAUUUGGGAAUGAUUUUGGGUAAGAAGAGCGUACGAGAAGAGUAAGCAGACGAUGUCGAUAGAAGACGAUUCGUGGGAUCUUCUCAAAGUCAAAGAAAGAGAAGAAUGAGCUAAAGAAUGGGUAUGCCCAGCCUAUGGAAUUAGAUGUCGAAUGAGUACGAUUUCGAGCAAAAAGAGAGAAGAGAAAGAAAGGUUGGACAUCUAUCGCUGCCGUGAUGACGCAGUUGAGUAUUCAUUCGAUCCACCACCCGAGGCCAGGCCGAUCAAACCUAUUCGUUUUGGGGUUCGAUCCAGCAAGUGAUCCAUAAGCACCAGUAGAAGCAAAAGCAUAUCCAGAAGCCGAUACCAACAGCAGUAGAGAAAGACCCCCGCUAAUAGAAAAAGAGGCAUAUCUGCCGAUGAUAACGAGAGCAGUACCGAUAGCACCAAUAGCAUCCCUUCCAGUUCCCUUUACUAGGUUGGGGAGCCAUCACCAGGGCCGAUGAUCCAACCCCAUACCAAGAUGCCCUUAUGGAGGUGCGUGAUUAGCGUAGGCUAUCUCCCUCGUGAGUGUUGAGCGGCUACUUUGACUUUCCCAUCCUCCUGGAGAAGUCACCGAAGGCGAAGACCAUCGGCUCGAUGGUAGCAAAAGAGGACCAUUCCUAUCUACCUACCCCGUAGAAGAUAAGAUGGACGCGGUCAGCGCCGAUAGCUUUGGCGCAUUGAUUCUCUGCGCUAGCAGGUUCCCCGAUCUUUCUUCUGUCCCAGCCGUUAGGUUAGGUCUCCGGGACUAGGUGAGGAAACGUCUCUUGGAGAGUAUAGAUUUCCCACCCCAGCCAGCAGGGGUUUGACAUCGAGGAUGUCGCUCUUAAUCCUAGGCUACGGCCGGGGAAGAUUCAAGAACCGAAUCUGAGAGAUUCUUAGCGGAGGACGUGAAUUGAUCUCUUUGUUCUAAGGCUUAUAGUCCUUUGUGACUACUUUAUUCGUUAUUGUCGAGGAAAGAAAGUCAUGCGAAAAGAGUGAACCUCUUGGUAGAGCUCUUCUUCCCUCACCCGGUAGCGAGAUCGGUUAUUUCCGGUGUUACCGGUCGAAAUAAGGUUUAUUUGCUUUGAGAUGGUCACGUAUAUAAGGAAUAAAGGAUGAUGAGUCUCCCCGGCGAGACUCGGGCAAGGAACUCAAACGAUACGUUGUCACUCGGCGCGUCCCCGUUUUCACGACUUUUUCACUACGCUAGGAAAUUUUCUUUCUUAUUAGAAAGGGAGGGAUUGAGUUUUUGAGCGAGAUUGCUCACAGUAGGGGAAAAUGGGAAUUGUUUCACUCAGUACGAAUUGUUGAUACCUAGUUUCAUACUUUACUUUACUAGAAAGUUGGCACGGAAUGACUGCAACGUCGCAUGUGACCUUUUGUCAGGAAGGGCGUACCCCCGAUUCUCGGGUGAAAUUCAAGUUCAGUAGGGUGGCAUUUUUUAUGAUGGUUUUCUUGUAACCUCUCUCAAAGAGAGUGGAAAUGGAAUAGCAUUCAAGAAUGCAAUUAAUUCCUCGUUAGUUAUAGAUGUAGAAGACAUGAAAACAUGUCUGACACUGAUGGAUUUUGAAUCCUAUUUAUAAUAGGUUACGACAGAGGAGGUAGCAUGCGAGAUUUGAUUCUCUUGCCAGAGAUUCUUCCCUCGGUAGCAGUAGGGGACAACACGAAGAUGUGUCUGACAUCGCUCAUUCUAUUUGUGGCUGCGCAAAAGAUCAUAGAAAGAAUGGGGAAUCCUUUGCUUAAGAUUAGAUUAGCUCGGCAGAGAAGAGAGAUUGACCCGAGUGGUCUUGGUCCCAAGGUCCCGAGGUUAGUCCUUUGUGACUUUUUAUUCGCCUGUCGAUUAUUGGUCCUUGAAGGACCGAAACUCAUGCGAUGAACCUCUUGCCAGAGCUUCUUUUCCUCACUCAGUAACGAGAUUAGUUUGCUUUGCUUUAAGCAAGUUACCGUCGAAAUAAGGUUUAUUUGCUCCGGGGUGGUCACGUAUAUAAGUACAAGGAAGAGAUGUCACGUAUAGAAAGAAGAAUGUGAGGCUCUCGAGUGUGACUCUAGCAAAGGAACUCAAACGCUAUGCUGUCACUCCGACUUUGCCAUUGCGUUAGGAAACUUUCUUUCUUAUUAGAAUAGAAAGGGAAGGAUUGAUUUCCUGUGUUCCCCGCGGGCUAAAAUGAAAAUGGGGAAACUCAUUAUGGCAGGGUGUUGUCUGUUCCAGACUUUAUUACUUUAUUUGAAGCUGGCAUCGAGUGCCUGACUCACAUGCGACCUUCAGGUCUCUAAGGAAAGAGGACAUACUCCCCGAUUCUCGGGGGAUACGCGUUGCGGAUUGGUUGCGUCUAUGCUUCUAAUCGCAAAAUUCGGUUAGUAUUGCAAGAUGAAGUUAGUGUGCCGGCCCUACGGCCCUAGCUACUUUCCUUCCUCCCAGCCGAGGGCAAUAACCUUGUUCUUUGUUUGAACGAGGAGAACAGCGUUACUCUAACCUUUUAGAGUGUGGAUUUCAUAGUUGCUAUUGGGAGCAGGUUUCGGAUCGACACAGGGGACAAAUCCACUGUGAGACCCUUACACCAAAAGCGCUUCGCAAACUCAGCAUACCCCGAGUGUAAGAUUAGAGACUUUGACAUUGAUAUGUCAACUCCCAACUCCGCUAGAGUCUGUUUAUAAAUCUUGGCGAUCUCGAUGCCGCAUAUAACAACAUCAUCCCCCAGGAUCGCAUACUUAUAAAACUUCUGUCCAGGGUGCACUCGCUCUGCACAAUACAUCACCAAUAAAUGGUGAGUAAGAGUGAAGAUAGGCCAAGAGGAGUAAAGUAAUAACCCAAACCAAACAAAGGCUGCCCUACUCUUAAAGUUAAGGACUUAACCUGAGGUAUCUUCUUCAAGAAAGGAGCCCUGAAUGGAUAGGACCUGAAAGCGCUACAUACAAACGCCGACAGGGAAUUCUCAAAGAGCUGCGCUAUCAACGCACUCUGUAACCCAAGCCAAGCCCUAUCGAUAGCAGACUUAAGGUCAAAUGAGUUGAUGAUUUUUAGAACGGUUCUGCUCGUUGUCAGGGCAGAAAGUGAAUGUAUCCAAGUCCAGGCUUUUGUCCUAUCCACGUGUGAUUGAUAAAGGGUGCUUUUACAUAGUUAUAAAAUAAAGAGGUUUAGCACUUUCUGUAGGCUUCAUGGUGCUGGAUUUAGAGUAAUCUCGCGACUCUCCAGCACUCUCUCAAAACGGUAUGAACGUUUGAGGAAUGUUUGGUUUAAGUCUUGCUUACCGUUUGAUUUGUGGCUAGGAAGGGGUAACCCUCUUAGUCCUUAUCUGAAGUAAGCUUAUUAAGACAGGCCUAUAAGCCCAAAGACCUAGCGGUCCCGCCAGACUUGUAUAAGUCUGAGUCUAUGGCGUAUCUCACUGAGGUCACCCUUUUACGUUCAUGGACAGCCAAUUGGCUCCAGUACGUUAAAUGGUAUUAUACUCAAGCACUUCUGCCUAGUGUACUCCUUAAGGACUUCUUCGAUGCACCUGUCUUCACUCGACACUGGAAGGUUAAGAGUGAGGACCCUGAGUUAAUCCGAUUUGGAUUGCUCUGGCGUCUUUACGAUGAGGUUGCAAAGAAAGGUCCGUCCUAUAUGGGUUUUAUCCUUGCGGACAAUAAGUUAACUCAUCCUCUUACUUUACUUAGAGGGGUCUCCGGUACGGAGUUCCUUUGGUUUGCUUCUAGGGCAACCUAGAGCAAGGGAUCGUCAUAAGACUUUCCUGUUGGUUUUUAUAAUCAAUCCACAUCCGUCGGCCAUAAGACUUUGGACAUCAAGAUAGAUUCAUAGUCCCGAGAUGAGUAAUUUCCUGAGGAAGAAGGGGAAGACAAGAAUGGUUGUUCAUUGUUCGACCGUCCAAUCCGAUACUCGUAUUUACUGGCCAGUUCGAGCAUUUCCUCUGACCGGACUGCAUUGAAUCUACUCGACGGUUCCGGAACGAGCAGUAAAGGCAGAAUCCCGCGGAAGAGGAAAACUAUCCAUGGUGUGACCUCUCUGCGGCCGGCACUCGACUCUGGCUCCCACCGAGGGAGCUGCUGUCGGAUAUCCAGAUCGUACGCUAAGGUUUGAUCCAUUCCGUGGUAGAAAGGUAAAGAGAUAGGAGAGUGAGGCUAGCUUUGGGCAUCCCCUAAGCCCUGAUGUGCCUACAACGACACUUUUAGACCUUUGUUGAUGUACAUGAAUUGUUUUUCCAGCUGGUGGAGCUAAGACAAGAGGCCUUUAGAAAGCAGAGCUAUUACCGCUGCCCACCCAAAAGAGCACGAAAAGCUGUGCCUACUUCCUGCCUGAAACCCCCAAAAGAGCAAAGCUGACUAAGAUCGGCGGGCUUGGUUUUCAUCACAAACGAAGGUUGCAUACAAGUAAAGUACAGAGAAAAGGAACGAGGGCAAGCUUUGCUGUACUGGGACUUAGGAGAAAGAGAGAGAAAGCAGCUCCUCUUCCUCUUUUCAUCCAUUCAUCUCUUAUCUUAUUCCUUAAUUCAUUUUCUUCUUUACUAGAAAGUUUUUCUCCUUCAUAGACUAUCUCGCUGUACCGAGAGAUGAGCAAACCAUAGGGACAGAGCUUAAAAGAGCUGCUGGCGGGCUUACCCCGGAUACGAACAAAAGGACGACUGGUUCGCCUAGAACAGGAGUGGGUCGCCAAAAGGAGUAGACAAACUAAGUGAAAAGUCUGUUGAAGACCAGAUGCCCUAACGCCAUAACAAUUAUAUGUAACAGCACGGCUAGAAAGAAUAAAUUAAAUUGACCAAAAACAAGGACAUGACGGAAUCACCGACCCGAAAGAGAUGUAUCGAAGCUCUCAAGCGGCCCGGCCUAUGCCGAGAGGGUUACAGCGGGCAAUCAUUAAUACGCCUUGGGGAAAGUCAUGCACCUGGCCGAGACGGAUAAAGGAAAGAUUCUCUCACCGAAAACAAGUAAACGAAAUAAUUACUAGUGCCCGAUCGAAAUGUCACGUAAGGUACUGCCGCUCCCGGAAGAGCUAAUUCGGAUAGUGAGGGAAGAAAGAGAAAGGAGUGGCUGUAAUUCGAAAACGGCAAAGAGUGCUUACUCAUUCAGCAGUCCUCGGCAAAAGAAGGAAGGGUCCCGGCUGGAAAGUCAAAAAGAGAUCAAGAUGGGAACAUCUCACUAAGCAGUGAGGCAUGAUCUUACCAAGUCCGUAGCUUUCUCACUCAUGCUUCACACAAAAUCGAGAUGAAAGAAGAUCAGACGUUGCGCUGAAUCUCCGUAUCGUCUUGUCCUACUCUACUUUACUUUUACUAGGCAUUGAUUCCCAUCUCGGUCAAUCAAUCGGCCCUCCUAGGCGAGGAGGAGCAGCUAACUACUUUCUACAUAGCACACGUUCAGGAUAGGGGACUUUAGCAAGUACUGCUGUGAUCUUUGCCCUUAGCCUAGCAGUAGGAGGAUUCUCUAUUACCGCUUUCAUGUGACCACGAAUGACUCUUGUUCUCAGACCGGGAAUCCUAUCUUCCUAUAUGGCGAUAAUCCUUCUAACUCUUUUCAAGUCAAUAAUGUGUAAACCGAUGCCAUAGCCUUACCACAUCGCAAUAGGAGCUGCUAUUGAAUCUGGUGAAGUAAGGGCUAGGCUGCAUCUCCUUGGGCCUCGGUAACAGUUAUUCAUUCUUCUUCUUUUUGCUCCUAUUGUGAAGAGCUUUUUCAACCUCCCCGAGGGGAACCGAACUACUUUUAGAGUGGGGUUACGCCCUUUCCUACAGCCCUUGCUAAAACAAAACCACCAAGAGCUCCUAUCCCGGCAGUUCUGACCUUCUUUACCUUAUUACUUAUCUUAUUCCUUACCUUGGAUAAGAUGAGAAGAUCGCAGUCUCUUCUUCCUUGCUUAGGUCUGCUCAGUACAGUAUGAGCAAGAAAAAACUGUACUGAUUAGCAAGCAGGAAAACUGUACCAAGAAUCUUACUCGAUCGAGUUCCCUUCUUUUCUCCCUGGGAGCCUACUCCAGUGCCCCAGUAGUUUCUUAUAGAGUCCCUGUCCAAUUUGUUUGAAAGAAGUAUCUUUCUUUAAACUGUCCCUGCUCCUAAUGAUAAACUGUUUUCCACGAGAGAUUCUUUCUUCUUCACUUCUGAACUGAUUCUCUCUAAGCCAGCUCGUUUCAGGUGCUUUCAUUCGCCCUUAUCUUCCUGGUAAGUCUAGUCUACCUCUUCCCUAUCUGACUAGAAAACCUUUGCAGUAGAGUAAAGCGCUCGGGCAAGGAAGUUUGAAAGCUGUCCCUUCCCUUAGGGAAGCUAGUUUCUUGCCAUCCCAUCCAAUUUUCUUUCUAGGUCUUCUUCUUUCGAAGUUUCCGUGGAUGCAGUUUCUUUCCCUGGGAAUGUUAAGAAAGGGGAAGGAUAAAAGGCCUUCUCGCUGCUUGUCAAAAUGGAACGUUUUGCAUUCUUUUGAUCUGUCGGCGGAAAUAGAUAGAUUUCUUUACCACUUGCCUAGUAUUUUACUGCUUUCCUUUCAAAAGGACUAUCCAUCUUAUGAAAGGGAAUACCUCUAUUUGAAGUUGUGUAUGGGAAUCGAAGGGAUUAGAACAGAACUAAGCUAGCCACUCCUAGAUAGGGAAAGGAAAGGUAGGAGCACGCCAAGAGGCAAGUAGACCGAGACGACAGAGCGGAAGACUUGUAGCGAGUAAGGAGAGAGAGAGGAAGAGAGGGUAGGACGUAGUUCCUGGGAUUGCUUUUGUGUGGGAUGGUCAGAUUGCUCUGCAACUCGGUUCUACCCCUGUCUUUGCUUUGGAAAGGUUCUUGAAUGUUAGAUUCCCUUUUUCUUUUUGGAAGAUAUGGUUGCUUCCAAGCCCACCUUCCGCUUGUUAAUAGUAGACUAAUGGGAGAGAGCCGUAGAUGAAAGCCUCUUCCUUAGCGGCCUCCUUCUGCUUCCGCUUCUUAUUCUUAAUCUGUAUGGCUGCUUUGGAGUGACAUUAGGCACGUAGGGAUAUGACUGCCAGUCCAGUUUUGGCCAUUUCUAUGUAUCCAGCCCUGAAGAAAGUCGAUAUGUGGAUGAUUUUCAAUCAAAGAGGGAAGAAAUUUAUCUUAGGCCACGGGAACGAGAUAGAAGAAGAGCUGCUUUAACGGCCCGCUAAGGAAGAAGAAAUUGGCUUCCUUCAUUUUAAGAUAAAGAUUGCAUUUCACUUUCACUUUCUAUAUCCAUUUUGAAUGGGUAAAAAAAAAAGCAAGAGCUUAUCAUCACCAGCAGAAAGAGACAGAGACCUUUUCUCUUUCGAAAAGGGACUGAGAUGCACCCUUCGUGCCUCAUACCCCUGAGGAAGGGAAGUUCGUUACUUGCUUGAAAGGAAGCAGUACUCUCGAGUGGGUACCUCUUGAAAAGGGCCGUCAAAAGGAUAGACUGAAUUCAAAUAAGCCUUCACUUUCAAUCCGUUGAAAUGUAUGGGUUAGGAUGACCAGCUUUCGUACAAGAGUUUACCUAGAAAAAACCUGACUGUGAGACCGACUCGGCAAAGAGAGAGGAAAGUCAACCAAGUGUUCAAUCUAUUAAAUAGACUAUUUUUCUUUCAUUAAAGUUUACAGAUAAGUAAGAUAUUGAAAGGGGCAGAACGCUUUCUAAGCUAGACUUUCUCCUUACGUCCUUCGGGGUGUGGAGAGGAUAAAUCUCCACAUCUUUUGCGAUUGGAAAGUGUAUUGGAAUCAGAUUGAAAAUCUCAGUAGGGCGACUCCUAAUCCGAUUCUACCGGGAUCAGGAGAAUCAAAUCACACAAAAAGAAGAUGAAAUAGCUGCUUAUUCUCUUCUCUUGCAGGGGCUGUCGUUUCGGGAUUGAUGGAUACCUGCAAGAACCCCUAUUCUCUAUUUUAUUAGUCUCUUUAUUUCCAACUCUUUUCCACAUCCUUAAUAAGGCACCGAGCUACGAGGCUCAAACAUUGAACACAACUAGACAGCACUAAUGCCGGUGGUGGUGGGAUAGAUAGUGAACGAGUUCCUUUAUUCCACUUAAAAAGAGGCUUUGGUAAUAGGCAAAAAGGCUACUUUCAACUUCAAGUUAGAGCAUUAGGACUAGAGCUGGGUGUAACAGAACUGGCGGGGUAAGACGCAUACUACUCAUGUGUCCUAACUUGACUCUGCUGGCUCUAAAAGGAGCUUACAAAAGGUAUUACUUAAGGCAAGGAAAGCUCGCUAUCAAAAUAGGACUGCCUUACAACUCGAACUCGCUCGCAAGGAAAGAGAAAUGGUAGGGAUGGAAAGAAGACUAUAAAUAGAAAAGCAUUCCUCGGAGUCGGAGCUAGCACUGAAAAUGGAUGACACUCUAGAUCGCUGGGAGAUUAUCUAGGCAGGGCCUGGAUCGAUAGACUCAAAAAAAUGAAGAGAGAUUUACAUUUACUUACUCGGCUGGGCUGGAAAUGGCUAAAGCUCACAUGCCCCAGGUAACCUACUCCUCAAACCUCAGAAAAUGGAAAGGGAGCUCGUCAGGUCAGAGGGUAGCACCCUACCUAUUGGUUGGCUCGUAUGUAACCCCAUCCACCAAGGGGAAAAGGCAACUUCCAAUGGCUCGAAGGGCUUCAGACUGAAAGGCAGAAAGCCUGGACCGCCAUCGAAAGAGAAAGUCCAACUUCCACUCAAACUGCCGGAAAAGGGGAUCCUAUCAGAGAACUCAGACUCAGAAAGCAGUUAUUACAGCACAGGAUUUUUCCUCUCCUCUCCACAAGAGCAAGAACGAAGAUAAAGAUUAUCUAUAAGCUCUCGGCUAUAAGAAACUGCUUUCUAGCUUUAUAGUGGGGAAGAGCCUUGGAAAAUACCCUACUAGCUUGACACCCUCGUAGCAUACACAGAAGCAUCCCAAGAACGAACCUUGUAGUAUCAGCACAGAGAUAAAGGACAGAAUUUUUGAUAGCACUGGCCUUCCUCGGGAUUACAUUACAAGCAAGAGCCUUUCACUGAACAAUCAGACAACUUUAUAUUAGCAUCUACCUUUUAUCACCCAUGUAUUUCGGGGUAAGGGGAAUACAUAUAUACUUAGACUGCGAGGAAUGCCACUACUGAGACUGGCACAAGAGAGAAUGGAACUGAAAAAGGCCCUAUAACCCGCUUUAUCACAAGAUCUAGAAAAGGGUUUCUCACUGGAUAGAUUGCAUUUGAGGAACAUCAAGAGACUAUUGAUACACGGACGGAUUAAAAGGAAUGGAAUCAGGUAAUCCCCGCAAAGAAAGAAAAGAAAGUAAAGAAGGUAAUCCAGUAAUAAAGGCAAAGCAAAAAAGGGCAAUCAGGUCUUUCCCUAAACCUAACGAGGACAAGACUAACUACUUUCUAUAAGGUGCAACCUUUUCUGUCCAUGUCCAUCUAAGAGCCUAUUCGAGAACAGUAACAAGAGUAAUGAAUGGCGGAUUCGCUCUCAAAUCGUCCUUCUCAUCCUUUCAAAGCAAAGCCAAAUCAUCGUCCGCAUGCGAAUCCUUAUCCUCAAAAGAGCGUCUUCGUGGUCGUCUCUUCCCAACAGCUUCUUCUAUUCUAUUCCGAAUUCCUACUCCUAGUAGUGCACUCGCUCGCCUUCGGGUGAGGGAAGAAUUCGUCGGCCAAAGAGACGGGCUAUUGUGUUUUUCUUGACUCAUCAUUGAUCUUUUGGAAAAGCAAGAAAGAAGAAACUGUAUCCAAGUCUAGCACAGAAGAAGCCGAGUACCAUGCCAUGUCUUCUGUUGAGUAAUAUUUUUUUGCUUUGCUUAUAGCUUUAGAAAAGUAGUCGCACAGUGAAGUCAAGCGUUCGCAACGUCUUUCCCAAGUGAAAGAGGGACAAGGUUGGCUCUCUAGCUAUAAGUCGAGUAAGCGAAAGCUGGUUUUUUAUCCCUUGCCCGCUGACUUGGAACUAUUUUUAAAGCCCUUUCCUGGGGAGUCUCGCUGUUAAAAUAAAAAGAAGGUUCCAAUGAAUCCGAGGAAAAUAGCAUCUUAUGGCCAUGACCAGCUAAAGAUCACUGCCAUCUCACGAAUUGGAUUUGAACCAAUAUCAAGCCAAUUGGGGCGAUUUUCCUCUUAGUCGAUUGUGAUGUGGCUGUAAUCCUCCUUAUUAUAUUAUAUUAUAGUACUCCUGCAUUUCGUCGGAAAACAUCCUGUCUUUUCACCGCUCCGUGGGUAGUCCUAUGCAUAGGACUAAUAUACUAUAGCCCGGAAAAUCAAAUUGAAACAAGAUAAAAUGGAAUCCGUACUAUUUUUUCCAGUUAUUAAUAGUCUUACCUUGCAUCACAUCAUAGGUAAGGCAAAGCGCUUUCUUUUAAGAAUGUAUCUGGUUCUAUCUUUCUUUCGUUAGCACCUUUUUCUAAAAGUGAUUGUAGUAAUUGAGGUUUUAUACUUUUUGGAAUAGCUCUCUCAUAUUGAGAAAUUUUUUCUAAUGGCAUUCGAUCACAGAAUCCAUUGACAGCAGCAUAAAUGACUAGAAUUUGUUUUUCAAUUGGCAGUGGUGAAUAUUGUGGUUGUUUCGGUACUUCUGUAAGCCUUGCACCUCUAUUGAGUAAUGCCUGAGUCGCAGCAUCAAGGUCUGACCCAAAUUGAGCAAGGGCGGCCACUUCGCGAUAUUGUGCCAAUUCCAGUUUUAAACUACCGCAGACUUGUUUCAUAGCUUUCAACUGAGCGGCAGACCCGACGCGACUGACAGAUAAGCCGACGUUAAUAGCAGGUCUAAUUCCUCGAUAAAAGAGCUCUGUUUCCGAACAGAUUUGUCCAUCAGUAAUGGGGAUCACAUUGGUGGGAAUAUAGGCCGAUACGUCUCCAGCUUGUGUUUCAAUGACGGGUAAGGCGGUCAAGCUACCUGCGCCUGUCUGGUCCGAUCGUUUAGCGGCUCUUUCUAAAAGACGGGAAUGUAAAUAGAAAACAUCGCCUGGGAAAGCCUCACGGCCUGGUGGUCGGCGUAACAAUAAUGACAUUUGUCGAUAUGCCACCGCCUGUUUACUAAGAUCAUCAUAGAUUAUUAAUGCGUGCAUUCCAUUAUCGCGGAAAUAUUCCCCCNNNNN
RNAcentral lists this long non-coding RNA (17528 nucleotides) under Gossypium raimondii (Peruvian cotton). RNAcentral's name for it is "long non-coding RNA (GRAI_LNC000385)". The record is from RNAcentral. Lineage: Eukaryota; Viridiplantae; Streptophyta; Magnoliopsida; Malvales; Malvaceae.